This 1414-nucleotide long non-coding RNA is filed under the name Fukomys damarensis (Damara mole-rat). Its description in RNAcentral is "lncRNA (ENSFDAG00000030536.1)". Lineage: Eukaryota; Metazoa; Chordata; Mammalia; Rodentia; Bathyergidae. The record is from RNAcentral.
GUGCACACGAUGCACCACGCGCACGAUUCUCUGGGAACGCUGGCCCCCUGCCCCGAAAGCACCCUUCACGCCGUAACCCUAGAGAAAGGCCAGAGAGGGUGAAAUGCAAGUCUCUUCGGGAGCAUCCGCGCUGCUCACAGAGCUCGGUGAUGGCCAUCGCAUUAAUUAAACUUCGCAGCAACCGCGGAGACACAGCACGCAGAUAGCCAGGCAUGGAGCCCAGACCCGCCCUCUCUUCUGGCGCCGUCUUCCUCUUGCACACAGGCCGCUCUGGCCCCUUCCCCCGGGACUCGGAGGAAGGGCUGGCUUCGUCUCCAUGUGGGUCCCCCGCGGUAGGGUCACCCACGCCGAGACAGUGGCCUCCUCACCCCAAGCCGCACAGUGGCUGCCGGACACAGAAGUCACCUCCGCCCAAUCUACAGGCACGCGCCUGACUUCCCGGCACGCGGGAGGCUGAGGCUGCAGGGUGCCACGGGUUCAGGGCCAGCCUGAACGACACAGACAGACCCUGUCUCGUGGAAACAAAGUAAACAAACUAUAAGAUAGAACGGGGGUCGUCGUUAACAGGUGAAGUACCAGCCACGGAGCGCUGGCUUGGUAAAUGGCGGCAGCGGUUCCUAAAUUAUUCUUUCUCCGGCGCCACCGGGUCCUCUGCUAGUGGGCGCGGCUGCGCUCCAGCGCUGCUCCGGCUCCCUCUGUGUGGGUCCCUCCGGGAGUGGACACGGCCUCGGGUACAAACCCUCGCGCGUGGACGCACGGCCGUGGGCCCAGCAACCCCCACGCGAGGCUGUGUCAACCGCAGGGGCUGUGCAAGUGACUCCCGUGUCACGUCCGUGUGACACGCAGGAGGCGCUCGGCAAACACUCUGCUGGAUGCAUUUACCUCUCACCCUGGCUCUUGGACCGGCAGCUGCACACGCACAGAAAAACAAGUGCGUUUAAAAUGUUCCCUCGUGAGGAGAGUGACCCGAUGCGUCUUAUUACAAGUGAUGCUUUGUCACCGUAGCAAUAAAUAAAUAAAAUAUCAGGAAGAAAAUAUCUGAGCCACGUGGGAAACACGUAGACACGCCAAGGCGCUGUCACACUUGUGACAGAUGUUAGAAUUUUGCAAGGAAAUGGACGCCCUCGGUGUCAAAUCUGACGUCACGUCGGGGCUGCCUGGCCGCCGGGGUCCUCACUUCUCACCAGAGGCUUCCAGAACAUCCACUCCGGGCUGCCGGGCCGUGCAGCCUCCUGGGCAGAUCUCCCAGCUUCCUUCCUCAGCCUGGCUGGGAGACUUCAGCUCUGAAUUGUAAUGUUUCAUUAUCAUAAUUGUGUUCUGUGAUAAUCCGGAUAGAUUAAAAUUUCUCUACAAAACAAAUGCUUAAUAAAGGGCUAAACCUGAGGAAUAAAUCAGCAGGCGGUCAUGCCCAGAC